RNAcentral lists this ribosomal RNA (492 nucleotides) under uncultured bacterium. RNAcentral describes it as "partial 16S ribosomal RNA". It matches the Rfam family "Bacterial small subunit ribosomal RNA", at positions 29 to 507 of the family's 1533-position model. The record is from RNAcentral.
AGUGAACGCUGGCGGUAUGCCUAACACAUGCAAGUCGAACGGCAGCACAGUAAGAGCUUGCUCUUACGGGUGGCGAGUUGCGGACUGGUGAGGAAUACAUCGGAAUCUACUUUUUCGUGGGGGAUAACGUAGGGAAACUUACGCUAAUACCUCAUACUACCUACGGGUGAAAGCAAGGGAUCUUCGGACCUUGCGCGAUUGUAUGAGCCGAUGUCGGAUUAGCUAGUUGGCGGGGUAAAGGCCCACCAAGGCGACGAUCCGUAGCUGGUCUGAGAGGAUGAUCAGCCACACUGGAACUGAGACACGGUCCAGACUCCUACGGGAGGCAGCAGUGGGGAAUAUUGGACAAUGGGCGCAAGCCUGAUCCAGCCAUGCCGCGUGGGUGAAGAAGGCCUUCGGGUUGUAAAGCCCUUUUGUUGGGAAAGAAAAGCAGCAGGUUAAUACCCCGCUGUUCUGACGGUACCCAAAGAAUAAGCACCGGCUAACUUCGUG